CGUGUAGGCUGCCCCGAAAGUCAGGUGUGAAAGCCCUGGGCUCAACCCAGGAAGUGCACUUGAAACUUCGGGGCUUGAGUUCUGGAGAGGAUGGCGGAAUUCUCGGUGUAGAGGUGAAAUUCGUAGAUAUCGAGAGGAACACCGGUGGCGAAGGCGGCUAUCUGGACAGUGACUGACGCUGAGACGCGAAAGCGUGGGGAGCAAACAGGAUUAGAUACCCUGGUAGUCCACGCCGUAAACGAUGGGUGCUAGGUGUCGCGGGCUUUGACCCCUGCGGUGCCGUAGCUAACGCAUUAAGCACCCCGCCUGGGGAGUACGGCCGCAAGGCUAAA
Molecule: ribosomal RNA, 332 nt
Filed under: uncultured Byssovorax sp.
Lineage: Bacteria; Pseudomonadati; Myxococcota; Polyangiales; Polyangiaceae
Description: bacterial SSU rRNA
Rfam family: Bacterial small subunit ribosomal RNA
Source: RNAcentral